CUCCUGGAAACGGGUGGUAAUGCCGGAUGUUCCACAUGAGCGCAUGCGAGUGUGGGAAAGGCUUUUUGCGGCAUGGGAUGGGGUCGCGUCCUAUCAGCUUGUUGGUGGGGUAACGGCCUACCAAGGCGUUGACGGGUAGCCGGCCUGAGAGGGCGACCGGCCACAUUGGGACUGAGAUACGGCCCAGACUCCUACGGGAGGCAGCAGUGGGGAAUAUUGCACAAUGGGCGCAAGCCUGAUGCAGCGACGCCGCGUGCGGGAUGGAGGCCUUCGGGUUGUAAACCGCUUUUGUCGGGGAGCAAGCCUUCGGGUGAGUGUACCCUUCGAAUAAGCACCGGCUAACUACGUGCCAGCAGCCGCGGUAAUACGUAGGGUGCAAGCGUUAUCCGGAAUUAUUGGGCGUAAAGAGCUCGUAGGCGGUUCGUCGCGUCCGGUGUGAAAGUCCAUCGCUUAACGGUGGAUCUGCGCCGGGUACGGGCGGGCUGGAGUGCGGUAGGGGAGACUGGAAUUCCCGGUGUAACGGUGGAAUGUGUAGAUAUCGGGAAGAACACC
This 552-nucleotide ribosomal RNA is filed under the name uncultured bacterium. Its description in RNAcentral is "bacterial SSU rRNA". It matches the Rfam family "Bacterial small subunit ribosomal RNA", at positions 147 to 710 of the family's 1533-position model. The record is from RNAcentral.